UACGUAGGGGGCAAGCGUUGUCCGGAAUCACUGGGCGUAAAGCGCGCGCAGGCGGUCAUCUACGUCUGGGGUGAAAGCCCGGAGCUCAACUCCGGGAUUGCCUUGGAUACGGGAUGACUUGAGGAUCGGAGAGGCAAGGGGAAUUCCACGUGUAGCGGUGAAAUGCGUAGAGAUGUGGAGGAACACCUGUGGCGAAGGCGGGUCUCUGGGCCGAUACUGACGCUGAGGAGCGAAAGCGUGGGGAGCAAACAGG
RNAcentral lists this ribosomal RNA (253 nucleotides) under uncultured bacterium. Its description in RNAcentral is "partial 16S ribosomal RNA". It matches the Rfam family "Bacterial small subunit ribosomal RNA", at positions 524 to 776 of the family's 1533-position model. The record is from RNAcentral.